CUCUCGGCUGCUGGAAAAGCUUCCUGCAGACUGCUAGUUCCAGCGCGCAGACGGAGCCAGCAGGACAAGGAACGGGGCUGUCCAUGCAGGGGUCUCUUGGGCUAUGAGGUUGGGACACUGGACCAUGGUACCAGGCACAGCCCACAUCAAGAGGAAAAGGACUGGUCUGCUCCAUGUCAGAGAAAACAGCAGCGUCAAAGCCAUGACCCUCGGGGAGUGGAGGACCCCUGAGUUGGUACCCUCUCUAGAGGUCUGACUAACAACUCCAUUGAGCCCUUCUCAGGCCAGGAGAAAGAAGAAGCUGGCCAGGCACGUGAGCUCGGUUCUUCCUCUUUACCUGUGCUCUACCGCAGCCGCUGCCACCCAUGAACAGCCUCCAGCUGCUUCAGCCUCUGAUGUACACCAGACUCUCUCCAGGAAGCCUCCAUCACGCAGCCUCAGCUGAGGGCUGCAUCACUGCCCUCCUCCCCCACUUCCGGGAGCAUGGGAAUGCUGGCAUGAGGAAGACAGCGGGUGUUACCGAGGCCUCCAGCUAGCGGGAGCAUACAGAUGGUCAUUGCGGGACGAUUUGGUCUGCACUCGUGUAAGCCAAGCCAAGCAACUUUUCUGUAAUCAUUUUCUGAUCACAUAUAUUUCCAAUAUAUAAUGUGUAUAUAUCGCAUUAUAAGCUUAUGUGAGUGCCUAUAUCCAAAAUUAUAGGAACUAACCUAUGUACCACCUUGUUGCUAUCUGACACCAAUGCCACCCUUACGUGCACCCCACACAGAAACAUGUCUUCACAUGCAUGAGUGGAAUAAAAACAACAGUUGCAAUGGAGGCGAAUGUAAAAGACAAGAAACACGCAGGGGUGGCUGAGGCUCUCCUCACGGAAACUGAGCUGCUCAGGAUUAGAGGGGAACCUCCAGAGAUAGAUGAUGGUGCUCAGAACUACAGGAUCAUGCAUGUGGCUGGGGUGACUGGAAACCCCUGCUGCUGGCACUCAAAGUGGGGGUCAGAGACUCCCAGACAAAGCAAGGAAUGGAGACAGGACUAUUCCAGUCAGGGAGAGAAAAUGUUCCCAGUCAGACUGGAGAGGGAAGCUGGGGUUCACUAUGACAAUCUGUUUCUCCUGGAGAGAGAGGAGUCACAAAAGCAUCAAUCUGGGUCCAGUCCCAGGGAGAUGCCUUUGAUCCUUCAAUGACUGAGCAAUCUAAUGGGCCACUGGUCAACCUAAACAGCACUAAAAUAAGGAUAAGGGGGGGGGGGGGGUGCUGCAGUUGGAGAACAAUUAGAUAAACCUUUCUAAAAGAGAAAUGAUGCCCCUCCAUGUCAUUCCAGAGAAAAAUCAAACGCCACAAUCUGUCUUGAAGUCUCUUAAGGAACCGCUGGCAGGAAAUUACCUUUCACCACGUCUUCUCCUUCCAGCUCCGAGCUGAUAAAAAUAGUUCUAGAUGCAAAGAAGCACUCCCAACGCCCGGAAGAGGCUAGCUUCCCACAAUCUGGCCUUGGCAUGUUCUGCCAGCUCGGAGGUAACCAUCCUUGGCCCCUGGUAAACUCCUAAUUAUCUAUCAACAACUGGGAAACAUCCCAAAGAUCAGUUUCUCUGAAACCCUUUCUCUCUUCUCCAUCCCCAAAGCAGAGAAGAGUACCUACUCCCCUGACAGCAGCCAGCCCAGCAUGUAGAUAUUGUUCCCCCCCAGAAGACUGUCUCCCACGCUAUAGGAGGCAAGCAUUGCUCCAUAAGAGACAAACAUCCCCCUCCACAGGGACACAAGUCUCUCGCCUUUGUUCAGUGUAGCCUACCUAUCACAGGGCUGGCUCGCAGUAACUUUUAAAAAUGUUAUUUGUCUGUCGUCGUUGUCAUUGCUGAAGGGCACACAUUUUGCAGCAUGUGUGUGAAGGUCAGAGGGCAACUGUGUGGGGCUGUUUCUCUCUUUCUAUUCUUAAGUGGGCUCCAGGGAUCGAACUCAGAUUGUCAAGCUUACGCAGCAAGCAAGCACCUCACCCCACUGAACUCUUCACUGGCCCCAGCAAAUAUUGGUUAACAUAAACUGUUGCCCAGGAAUAGAGGCUCACACCUGUAAUUCAAGCACUCAGAAGGUUUAACCAGGAGGACAAUGAGUUCAAGGUCAGCUUGAGAUAGAUACAGAGACAUGACCCCACCAAAUAAGCAGUGGAUCUGUCCCCAUACUGACAAGCUAAGAGAGCUUACUCCUAUAGCCCUGUCACAGGAAGCAAGCCACCUAAUACUCAAUGAACAGCAUUAGGAGGCUGUCGAGACUUGGAGUGUCGCUCAAGUGGUGCAGUGCUCACUUUGCACAGCAAUUGUGUUGCCCUAGCACCACCUAGAAGGAGAAGGAAGAAGAGGAUUGGGGGAAAGGGGAAGAAAGUGAUGCAGAUAGGGGAAGGAGAAAGAAGAAAAAGAAAGAGGGAAGAAGAAGAAAAAGGAAAAGGAGGAAAGAGGAGAAAGGGGAGAGAAAAAGGAGGAGGAAGGGAUGAAAAAGAAGUGGGAGAAGAGGAAAGAAAGGAGGGAGAGAAGAGAGGAGGAAGAAGAAGAGGAGAGGGAAGAAAAGGAGGAAAAGGGGAAAGGAGAGUGGGAAGAGUAGGAAGAAGAGAAACAAGAAGAGGAGAAAUGGAAAAAGGUGAAAUGGGGUGAGAAAUAGAAGGAGAAAAAUGUCAGCCUCUGUCCUUGGCCUCUGCUGAGCUACAUUUUCUGAAGUUGAGCCUGUAGACAUGGCCACAUGUGUCCAAAUUCAGAACCAAAGGCUCCUGGUCCCACUCUAUCUACUGUUGCUCAGGUCACCAAUGUAAAGGAAAAGUGGUGUAUUUACUGGUUAGUGCGCAUUUAAGUUAUUACAAAUGCAUACAUAACGGUUAUUAAUGAAAUGGAAAGUGUAAUAUGUUUAUGGUCUUAUACAGUAAAUAUUUAUAA
Long non-coding RNA from Meriones unguiculatus (Mongolian gerbil), 2911 nucleotides. RefSeq lists it as uncharacterized. Lineage: Eukaryota; Metazoa; Chordata; Mammalia; Rodentia; Muridae. The record is from RefSeq and is a predicted model, not a curated record. The transcript has 3 exons.